CUCAAAAGCCUGAAGCAAUGACAAAGGCUGUUCAAAGUGCUGAGGAACCAAGGAAAUGUACAUAUUUGGCUUAAUUCAUAAAACUGUCAUUGAAGGCCAGCUAAGAAGACGAAGAUUUUUGUCCAGGAUCUGCAGCUGUGAGACCACAGAAAGUUUGUUGACUCAUGACCUAGAUGACUGCAAGAGCCUACAAUGAAGUCCCUCUGCAAACAGAAGCAAAAGGCACAGUCUGCUCCUCCUAAAGCAAGUCCACAUCUCUACUCCAGAAAAGAGCAAACUAUUUACAACUAUUUAAAUACAGCCUUUUCAUCUUAAAAAUUACAUUAAGUUUCUGGAAUUCUGAUAUACCCAAUUCCAACUCUGGCACUCUUCCAAUCAAC
RNAcentral lists this long non-coding RNA (380 nucleotides) under Homo sapiens (human). Its description in RNAcentral is "non-protein coding lnc-TNC-2:2". The record is from RNAcentral. Lineage: Eukaryota; Metazoa; Chordata; Mammalia; Primates; Hominidae.